RNAcentral lists this ribosomal RNA (488 nucleotides) under uncultured bacterium. Its description in RNAcentral is "partial 16S ribosomal RNA". It matches the Rfam family "Bacterial small subunit ribosomal RNA", at positions 28 to 507 of the family's 1533-position model. The record is from RNAcentral.
GAUGAACGCUAGCGGCAGGCCUAAUACAUGCAAGUCGGACGGGAUCCAUUGAUAGCUUGCUAUCAAUGGUGAGAGUGGCGCACGGGUGCGUAACGCGUGAGCAACCUGCCUCCAUCAGGGGGAUAGCCUCUCGAAAGAGAGAUUAACACCGCAUAAUAUCAACAGUUCGCAUGUUCAGUUGAUUAAAUAUUUAUAGGAUGGAGAUGGGCUCGCGUGACAUUAGCUAGUUGGUAGGGUAACGGCUUACCAAGGCGACGAUGUCUAGGGGCUCUGAGGGGAGAAUCCCCCACACUGGUACUGAGACACGGACCAGACUCCUACGGGAGGCAGCAGUAAGGAAUAUUGGUCAAUGGGCGGAAGCCUGAACCAGCCAUGCCGCGUGCAGGAUGACUGCCCUAUGGGUUGUAAACUGCUUUUGUCCAGGAAUAAACCUAAAUACGAGUAUUUAGCUGAAUGUACUGGAAGAAUAAGGAUCGGCUAACUCCGUG